GACGAACGCUGGCGGCGUGCUUAACACAUGCAAGUCGAACGGAAAGGCCCUGCUUUUGUGGGGUGCUCGAGUGGCGAACGGGUGAGUAACACGUGAGUAACCUGCCCUUGACUUUGGGAUAACUUCAGGAAACUGGGGCUAAUACCGGAUAGGAGCUCCUGCUGCAUGGUGGGGGUUGGAAAGUUUCGGCGGUUGGGGAUGGACUCGCGGCUUAUCAGCUUGUUGGUGGGGUAGUGGCUUACCAAGGUUUUGACGGUUAGCCGGCCUGAGGGGGUGACCGGCCACAUUGGGACUGAGAUACGGCCCAGCCUCCUACGGGAGGCAGCAGUGGGAAAUAUUGCACAAUGGGCGGAAGCCGGAUGCAGCAACGCCGCGUGCGGGAUGACGGCCUUCGGGUUGUAAACCGCUUUCGCCUGUGACGAAGCGUGAGUGACGGUAAUGGGUAAAGAAGCACCGGCUAACUACGUG
Molecule: ribosomal RNA, 468 nt
Filed under: uncultured bacterium
Lineage: Bacteria
Description: partial 16S ribosomal RNA
Rfam family: Bacterial small subunit ribosomal RNA
Source: RNAcentral